UCUUCGAUCAUGGCUCAGAUUGAACGCUGGCGGGAUGUCGCAUGACAUGCAAGUCGAACGGCAGCACGGACUUCGGUCUGGUGGCGAGUGGCGAACGGGUGAGUAAUGGUAUCGGAACGUGCCUAGUAGCGGGAUAACUACGCCGGGUGUUGCAGCUAAUACCGGCAUACGCCCUUCGGGGGAAAGGCAAAAUCUUCGGGCCUCGCACUAGAGCGGCCGAUAUCGGAUUAGCUAUUGCGGGGUAACGGCUCACCAAGGCGACGAUCCGUAGCUGGUUUGAGAGGACGACCAGCCACACUGGGACUGAGACACGGCCCAGAUCAUGGGAGGCAGCAGUGGGGAAUUUUUGACAAUGGGGGAGGACCCUUGAUCCAGCCAUCCUGCGUGAUGGAAGGCCUCUUGGGUUGAGAAGUACCCUUGGCAGGAAAGAAACGCAGAAUGGGAUAAUACCCCGUGCAACUGACGGUACCUGCAGAACAAGCACCGGCUAACUACGUGCCAGCAGCCGCGGUAAUACGUAGGGUGCAAGCGUUAAUCGAAUUACUGGGCGUAAAGCGUGCGCAGGCGGUUCGGAAAGAAAGAUGUGAAAUCCCAGAGUUUCUUAACUCUUUGAACUGCAUUUUUAACUACCGAGCUAGAGUGUGUCAGAGUGGAGGUGGAAUUCCGCGUAGCGGCGUGAAAUGCGUAGAUAUGCGGAGGAACACCGAUGGCGAAGGCAGCCUCCUGGGGAGGCAACACACUGACGCUCGGGCGUGCACGAAAGCGUGGGGAGCAAACAGGAUUAGAUACCCUGGUAGUCCACGCCUCUAAACGAUGUCAACUAGGGCUGCCGGGGCCUUCGGGCCUUGGUAGCGCAGCUAACGCGUGAAGUUGACCGCCUGGGGAGUACGGUCGCAAGAUUAAACCAAAGGAAUUGACGGGGACCUGCACAAGCGGUAAGAUGAUGUGAUUAAUCGAUGCAACGCGAAAACCUUACCUACCCUUGACAUGUCUGGAAUCCCGAAGAGAUUUGGGAGUGCUCGCAAGAGAACCGGAACAACAGGGCACGGCCAGUCACGUCAGCUCGUGUCGUGAGAUGUUGGGUUAAGUCCCGCAACGUGAGCGCAACCCCUUGUCAUUAGUUGCUACGAAAGGGCACUCUAAUGAGACUGCUUGCGACAAACCGGGAGGAAGGUGGGGAUGACGUCAAGUCCUCAUGGCCCUUAUGGGUAGGGCUUCAAGCACGUCAUACAAUGGUCGGGACAGAGGCUGCCAACCCGCGAGGGGGAGCCAAUCCCAGAAACCCGAUCGUAGUCCGGAUCGCAGUCUGCAACUCGACUGCGUGAAGUCGGAAUCGGGCUAGUAAUCGCGGAUCAGCAUGUCGCGGUGAAUACGUUCCCGGGUCUUGUACACACCGCCCGUCACACCAUGGGAGGUUUUACUGGAGAAGUAGUUAGCCUAACCGUAAGGAGGGCGAUUACCACGGUAGGAUUCUGCGACUGGGGUGAAGUCGUAGUCAAGGUAAA
RNAcentral lists this ribosomal RNA (1505 nucleotides) under uncultured Bordetella sp. RNAcentral's name for it is "partial 16S-23S ribosomal RNA intergenic spacer". It matches the Rfam family "Bacterial small subunit ribosomal RNA". The record is from RNAcentral. Lineage: Bacteria; Pseudomonadati; Pseudomonadota; Betaproteobacteria; Burkholderiales; Alcaligenaceae.